GAUGGAACUCUCCGGAGGGAAGUUAUAUAAACCUAGUGGCGGACGGGUGAGUAACGCGUGGGGAACCUGCCCUGUACCGGGGGACAACAGCCAGAAAUGGCUGCUAAUACCGCAUAAUCCUGCGCUGCCGCAUGGCAGCGCAGGGAAAACUCCGGUGGUACAGGAUGGUCCCGCGUCUGAUUAGCUUGUUGGCGGGGUAACAGCCCACCAAGGCGACGAUCAGUAGCCGGCUUGAGAGAGCGGACGGCCACAUUGGGACUGAGACACGGCCCAGACUCCUGCGGGAGGCAGCAGUGGGGAAUAUUGCACAAUGGGGGGAACCCUGAUGCAGCAAUGCCGCGUGGGUGAAGAAGUACCCCGGUAUGUAAAGCCCUGUCAGCAGGGAAGAAAAUGACGGUACCUGACUAAGAAGCCCCGGCUAACUACGUGCCAGCAGCCGCGGUAAUACGUAGGGGGCGAGCGUUAUCCGGAUUUACUGGGUGUAAAGGGAGCGCAGGCGGCGUGGCAAGUCAGAUGUGAAAACCCGGGGCCCAACCCCGGGACUGCAUUUGAAACUGCCAUGCUGGAGUGCCGGAGAGGCAAGUGGAAUUCCUAGUGUAGCGGUGAAAUGCGUAGAUAUUAGGAGGAACACCAGUGGCGGAGGCGGCUUGCUGGACGGUAACUGACGCUGAGGCUCGAAAGCGUGGGGAGCAAACAGGAUUAGAUACCCUGGUAGUCCACG
RNAcentral lists this ribosomal RNA (721 nucleotides) under uncultured bacterium. Its description in RNAcentral is "bacterial SSU rRNA". It matches the Rfam family "Bacterial small subunit ribosomal RNA", at positions 66 to 799 of the family's 1533-position model. The record is from RNAcentral.